Molecule: small RNA, 124 nt
Filed under: Escherichia coli
Lineage: Bacteria; Pseudomonadati; Pseudomonadota; Gammaproteobacteria; Enterobacterales; Enterobacteriaceae
Also listed under: 1 other name
Description: partial RtT sRNA
Rfam family: RtT RNA
About the family: This family represents a bacterial cis-regulatory element known as RtT RNA. The exact function of RtT is unknown although it is thought that it may be involved in changing the cellular response in relation to amino acid starvation.
Source: RNAcentral
AUUCUGCCCAUGCGGGGAAGGAUGAGAAGCUUCGACCAAGGUUCGACUCGAGCGCCAGCGAGAGAGCGUGGCCGCAGGCAACGACCCGAAGGGCGAAGCGCGCAGCGCUGAGUAAUCCUUCCCC